GACGAACGCUGGCGGCGUGCCUAAUACAUGCAAGUAGAACGCUGAAGGAGGAGCUUGCUUCCCUGGAUGAGUGGCGAACGGGUGAGUAACGCGUAGGUAACCUGCCUGUUAGCGGGGGAUAACUAUUGGAAACGAUAGCUAAUACCGCAUAAGAGUAGAUGUUGCAUGACAUUCGAUUAAAAGGUGCAAUUGCAUCACUACCAGAUGGACCUGCGUUGUAUUAGCUAGUUGGUGGGGUAACGGCUCACCAAGGCGACGAUACAUAGCCGACCUGAGAGGGUGAUCGGCCACACUGGAACUGAGACACGGCCCAGACUCCUACGGGAGGCAGCAGUAGGGAAUCUUCGGCAAUGGACGGAAGUCUGACCGAGCAACGCCGCGUGAGUGAAGAAGGUUUUCGGAUCGUAAAGCUCUGUUGUUAGGGAAGAACGUGUGUGUGAGUGGAAAGUUCCCACUGUGCGGGUAUCGUACAAGAAGCGGCCGGCUACCUCCUU
RNAcentral lists this ribosomal RNA (494 nucleotides) under uncultured bacterium. RNAcentral's name for it is "partial 16S ribosomal RNA". It matches the Rfam family "Bacterial small subunit ribosomal RNA", at positions 28 to 506 of the family's 1533-position model. The record is from RNAcentral.